GAUGAACGCUGGCGGCGUGCUUAAUACAUGCAAGUCGAACGAGGAGUAGCAAUACUCCGAGUGGCGAACGGGUGAGUAACGCGUAGAUGACCUGCCUCGAAGCGUGGGAUACCAGUUCGAAAGGACCGCUAAUACCGCAUGAGAUCUGGGGGUUUAGAAGCCCCAGAAGAAAGCCGCAAGGCGCUUUGGGAGGGGUCUGCGUCCCAUCAGCUAGUUGGUGAGGUAACGGCUCACCAAGGCGACGACGGGUAGGGGGCCUGAGAGGGUGACCCCCCACACUGGCACUGAAACACGGGCCAGACACCUACGGGUGGCAGCAGUAGGGAAUAUUGCACAAUGGGCGCAAGCCUGAUGCAGCAACGCCGCGUGCACGAUGAAGGCCUUCGGGUCGUAAAGUGCUUUUCGGGGAGAUGAGGAAGGACAGUAUCCCCGGAAUAAGGAUCGGCUAACUACGUGCCAGCAGCCGCGGUAAAACGUAGGAUCCGAGCGUUAUCCGAAUUCACUGGGCGUAAAGCGCGUGCAGGCGGCUGGAUAAGUUGGAUGUGAAAUCUCCUGGCUCAACUGGGAGAGGUCGUUCAAGACUAUCCAGCUCGAGGGCAGUAGAGGGAGGUGGAAUUCCCGGUGUAGUGGUGAAAUGCGUAGAUAUCGGGAGGAACACCAGUGGCGAAAGCGGCCUCCUGGACUGCACCUGACGCUCAGACGCGAAAGCUAGGGGAGCGAACGGGAUUAGAAACCCCGGUAGUCCUAGCCGUAAACGAUGUAGACUGGGUGUGGGUGGGGUAAAAGCCAUCCGUGCCGAAGCCAACGCGAUAAGUCUACCGCCUGGGGACUACGGCCGCAAGGUUA
This 846-nucleotide ribosomal RNA is filed under the name uncultured bacterium. RNAcentral's name for it is "bacterial SSU rRNA". It matches the Rfam family "Bacterial small subunit ribosomal RNA", at positions 28 to 896 of the family's 1533-position model. The record is from RNAcentral.